GGGGNNNNNNNUAUCNCCCAAAUCCCUUAAGUUGAUCAUGGCUCGGAUGAACGCUAGCGGCAGGCUUAAUACAUGCAAGUCGAGGGGCAGCAGGGGUGUAGCAAUACACUCACUGGCGACCGGCAAACGGGUGCGGAACACGUACGCAACCUACCCAAAACUGGGGAAUAGCCCGGGGAAACCCGGAUUAAUACCUCGUAACAUAAUGGAGUGGCAUCACUUUAUUAUUAUAGCAUCCGGCGGUUUUGGAUGGGCGUGCGCCUGAUUAGGUAAUUGGCGGGGUAACGGCCCACCAAGCCUACGAUCAGUAACUGGUGUGAGAGCACGACCAGUCACACGGGCACUGAGACACGGGCCCGACUCCUACAGGAGGCAGCAAUAAGGAAUAUUGGUCAAUGGACGCAAGUCUGAACCAGCCAUGCCGCGUGAAGGAUGAAGGUCCUCUGGAUUGUAAACUUCUUUUAUAUGGGACGAAACCCUCGGAUUCCUCCGGGAUUGACGGUGCCAUAGGAAUAAGCACCGGCUAACUCCGUGCCAGCAGCCGCGGUAAUACGGAGGGUGCAAGCGUUAUCCGGAUUCACUGGGUUUAAAGGGUGCGUAGGAGGGCAGGUAAGUCAGUGGUGAAAUCCCCGAGCUUAACUUGGGAACUGCCGUUGAUACUAUCUGUCUUGAUACCGUGGAGGUGAGCGGAAUAGUCAUGUAUCGCUGAAUGCUUGAUAUGACUANAACACCAUUGCGACGCACUCGCUACACGAUAUUGAUCUGAGCAGAAGCGUGGGACAA
This 783-nucleotide ribosomal RNA is filed under the name uncultured bacterium. RNAcentral describes it as "bacterial SSU rRNA". It matches the Rfam family "Bacterial small subunit ribosomal RNA", at positions 1 to 771 of the family's 1533-position model. The record is from RNAcentral.